This 823-nucleotide ribosomal RNA is filed under the name uncultured sediment bacterium. RNAcentral describes it as "bacterial SSU rRNA". It matches the Rfam family "Bacterial small subunit ribosomal RNA", at positions 8 to 831 of the family's 1533-position model. The record is from RNAcentral.
AGAGUUUGAUCCUGGCUCAGGAUUAACGCUAGCGGCAGGCCUAAUACAUGCAAGUCGAGGGGGAAAGUCACUUCGGUGGCUGGAGACCGGCGAACGGGUGCGUAACGCGUAUGCAAUCUACCUAUAGCAGAGGGAUAGGCUAUGGAAACAUGGAUUAAUACCUCAUAAAGCAAUGAAGUCGCAUGGCGGCAUUGCUAAAGUCACGGCGGCUAUAGAUGAGCAUGCGUCUGAUUAGUUAGUUGGUGGGGUAAAGGCUCACCAAGACCACGAUCAGUAGCGGGUUUGAGAGGAUGAUCCGCCACACUGGCACUGAGAUACGGGCCAGACUCCUACGGGAGGCAGCAGUAGGGAAUAUUGGUCAAUGGGCGCAAGCCUGAACCAGCCAUGCCGCGUGCAGGAAGAAGGCCUUCUGGGUUGUAAACUGCUUUUAAACAGGAAGAAAAAGCUCUUGCGAGGGCAAUUGACGGUACUGUAAGAAUAAGCACCGGCUAACUCCGUGCCAGCAGCCGCGGUAAUACGGAGGGUGCAAGCGUUGUCCGGAUUUAUUGGGUUUAAAGGGUGUGUAGGCGGUGUAUUAAGUCAGUGGUGAAAGCCUGCGGCUCAACCGUAGAAAUGCCAUUGAUACUGACACACUUGAGUAUGGACGAGGUAGGCGGAAUUUAUGGUGUAGCGGUGAAAUGCAUAGAUACCAUAAAGAACACCGAUAGCGAAGGCAGCUUACUAGGCCAUAACUGACGCUGAGGCACGAAAGCGUGGGGAGCGAACAGGAUUAGAUACCCUGGUAGUCCACGCUGUAAACGAUGAUCACUCGCUGUUGGCGAUA